UUUAAUUAUGAUGAUCAAAAGGGACUUAAUACUGACGUGUGAUGUUACCUUUUAUUAUUCUGAAUUUC
This is a small nucleolar RNA of Centropristis striata (black sea bass), 68 nucleotides long. RefSeq annotates it as small nucleolar RNA SNORD82. Lineage: Eukaryota; Metazoa; Chordata; Actinopteri; Perciformes; Serranidae. The record is from RefSeq and is a predicted model, not a curated record. The transcript has a single exon.